This is a long non-coding RNA of Thalassophryne amazonica, 105 nucleotides long. RefSeq lists it as uncharacterized. The transcript is spliced from 3 exons. Lineage: Eukaryota; Metazoa; Chordata; Actinopteri; Batrachoidiformes; Batrachoididae. The record is from RefSeq and is a predicted model, not a curated record.
UCAAAAGUCCUUUUUGUGUCAUAAAAUGAGUUCCUUGUCAGCUGAUGUCUGCGGAGUUUGUCAGAAAGUUAUGUGCGUGUUCAAAACUUUGAGCGGAGAUCAGAC